GGGGCUUACUAUUUUUAAUAUUUUUAUUUUGUUUUCAAGAUAGCAUGGUUAACUAACAAGCCAUUUAAGGAAAGUAAAUAAUUUAAGGGAAAAGGAAAUGCAGAAAGGAUAAAUAUGGGUAACCACUGAUUUUACCUUUCGGCGAGGGUUCAAUGUUUUAAGUCUUCUGAACAAGACUUCUCACCGUGUUCAUUCUUUAGGUGCGUCAUUUGAUUCAGGUGUGGACCUUGACGUCUGCUCCUCUUGAUAUGGUGUCACUCAUGUUCUUCGUUUGCCCAGGAGUUCGAAGUGCGGCGUUGGCAGUAUCUUGCUCAGUGUGUUUGUGCUUGUAGAUCCACGUCCUUCACUUGGUAGAGUCUGGGAGUUGAAAAAUCCUCUAUGUUUCUCAAAAUGUGUCCUGCUCAUAGAGACAAGGCAG
RNAcentral lists this long non-coding RNA (418 nucleotides) under Sorghum bicolor (sorghum). RNAcentral's name for it is "long non-coding RNA (SBIC_LNC009089)". The record is from RNAcentral. Lineage: Eukaryota; Viridiplantae; Streptophyta; Magnoliopsida; Poales; Poaceae.